RNAcentral lists this ribosomal RNA (433 nucleotides) under uncultured bacterium. RNAcentral describes it as "partial 16S ribosomal RNA". It matches the Rfam family "Bacterial small subunit ribosomal RNA", at positions 29 to 507 of the family's 1533-position model. The record is from RNAcentral.
AACGAACGCUGGCGGCAUGCCUAACACAUGCAAGUCGAACGAGACCUUCGGGUCUAGUGGCGCACGGGUGCGUAACGCGUGGGAACCUGCCCUUAGGUUCGGAAUAACUCCCCGAAAGGGGUGCUAAUACCGGAUAAUGUCUUCGGACCAAAGAUUUAUCGCCUUUGGAUGGGCCCGCGUUGGAUUAGCUAGUUGGUAGGGUAAAAGCCUACCAAGGCGACGAUCCAGAGCUGGUCUGAGAGGAUGAUCAGCCACACUGGGACUGAGACACGGCCCAGACUACUACGGGAGGCAGGGGUAGGGAAUAAUGGAGGAUGGGCGAGGGCCUGAUCCAGCAAUGCGGCGUGAGAGCUGAAGGCGUUAGGGAAGUAAGGCUGUCUUGCCCGGGGUGGGAAUGACGGUAGCGGGAGAAUAAGCUCCGGCUAACUACGUG